GCUCCCAUAGUUCAAUGGAUAGAAUAGAAGACUCCUAAGCUUUAGAUGCAGGUUCGAUUCCUGCUGGGAGCACAA
Molecule: transfer RNA, 75 nt
Filed under: Candidatus Moraniibacteriota bacterium
Lineage: Bacteria; Candidatus Moraniibacteriota
Description: tRNA-Arg
Rfam family: tRNA
About the family: Transfer RNA (tRNA) molecules are approximately 80 nucleotides in length.
Source: RNAcentral